This 125-nucleotide ribosomal RNA is filed under the name Chaetothyriales sp. RNAcentral's name for it is "partial small subunit ribosomal RNA". It matches the Rfam family "Eukaryotic small subunit ribosomal RNA", at positions 1440 to 1564 of the family's 1831-position model. Lineage: Eukaryota; Fungi; Ascomycota; Eurotiomycetes; Chaetothyriales. The record is from RNAcentral.
GAAGUACGAGGCAAUAACAGGUCUGUGACGCCCUUAGAUGUUCUGGGCCGCACGCGCGCUACACUGACAGAGCCAGCGAGUACAUCACCUUGGCCGAAAGGUCUGGGUAAUCUUGUGAAACUCUG